CUGAGCAAGGAAGAGGGGGGUCGGCACACGCCGUUUUUCAACGGCUACCGUCCGCAGUUUUACUUCCG
Molecule: unclassified non-coding RNA, 68 nt
Filed under: uncultured bacterium
Lineage: Bacteria
Source: RNAcentral